UUACCUUUCCCUUCACAGUUAAAGUGCUGGAAAUGUUUCAUAUUCAAAUAUGAGUGUUUUUUGUUGUCAACAACAGCUCCUUUUGGAAAAUGCUGUUGCUAAAAAUAAAAAGGUUGUUUUUCAGGCUCCGUUUAAACAGAGACAUAGUGCUGCUCGGGGAUCAGGCAGAGCAAAAGCUUAUUCCCUUUACCUGUAUGUUUUGCAGCAGCAUGCUGAGAGGACAGGAAUGAGCCACUGAGUUCAUAUUUCCACUGGAAUUGCAAAACAGAGGGCCAGAUUCAUUAAGAUUAUUAUACUAAGUCAAUAUGACCUUUCCCUUUGUAUUUCGCUUCCUUCGAUUGACUGGAAAUUGGACUAAGCAGCGAGCACUGUGCUCAAGAGUUCUGAAUUUCUUCGGCAAAGGUCGAUGUUUUCAACUGUAAGGGGUUCGUUGUUUCAAUAGCGAUUUUUGUGUUACCCAUAAAGGCUCACAGGCCAUUUCAUUCACCUCCUUUAUAGCCGGUAUUUUUCAUCACCAUUAAACUAAAGAGUUGACAAAAUCUCACAUAAUGUGGCCUUUUAGUGCAGGAGUUACUGGACUCACAUUAAAAUACUGGGUUGUUAACAUCCUGGUAACAAUCUGCUUUCCACCCCUGAAGCCCAAUCCUGCAAAGCGCCGAAUGUUUGGGGUUCUUUUGCUUUAGUUUUUGUUUUAAGUGUGAGCAUCUUCCUCACCCAGCAAAAUGAAUGUGCUUGACAUUUGCAGGAUCCAACCCUAUGUUUAACCAGCUCAAUAACAAAAAUAUUUGAAGGCUAGCUGUUCCUAUUGCGAAUAAGGAUGGUUUCCUAAAUGCGGACCUGUGUACUCUCCUUGUAACCUGGUUAUGGACUGUGUAAUCUAUGGCACACUUUUACAGCGUAAUCAUAUAGAAAAGUCCUUGGCCAAAAAAAGCAAGCAAAAACCGCUAGAUCUCAGCAAACCGCAAACGUGCUUCGACAUCAGAGCGUGGGCAGAUCUGGGAGCUGAAGACUAUGUCAUGCGUCACGUACGGGAUAAUGGGAUACGACUUUUAAAUGGAAGAUACAGCUUUCAAAAUGAUUCAACAUAAUAAGAGAUAAAACAACUGAGGAACUGAAAAAGCAAAUAGUGCCUCUGACUUAAAAGGAAAACAAGUAUCAAUGCCCCUAGCUAUUGUCUAAUGUGGAGACAUUUGAAAAAGAUGAGUCUUCAGAAAAAAAGCAAGCCCUCAACCAGACACCACCACUACAGAGUUGGG
This 1256-nucleotide long non-coding RNA is filed under the name Struthio camelus australis. RNAcentral describes it as "lncRNA (ENSSCUG00000013991.1)". Lineage: Eukaryota; Metazoa; Chordata; Aves; Struthioniformes; Struthionidae. The record is from RNAcentral.